GUGGGGAAUUUUGGACAAUGGGGGCAACCCUGAUCCAGCCAUUCCGCGUGAGUGAAGAAGGCCUUCGGGUUGUAAAGCUCUUUUGUCCGGAGCGAAAAGGUUACGGUGAAUAUCCGUGACUACUGACGGUACCGGAAGAAUAAGCACCGGCUAACUACGUGCCAGCAGCCGCGGUAAUACGUAGGGUGCGAGCGUUAAUCGGAAUUACUGGGCGUAAAGCGUGCGCAGGCGGUUUUGUAAGCCAGAUGUGAAAGCCCCGGGCUUAACCUGGGAAUGGCAUUUGGGACUGCAAGGCUGGAGUGUGGCAGAGGAGACUGGAAUUCCUGGUGUAGCAGUGAAAUGCGUAGAUAUCAGGAGGAAUACCGAUGGCGAAGGCAGGUCUCUGGGCUGACACUGACGCUCAUGCACGAAAGCGUGGGGAGCAAACAGGAUUAGAAACCCGGGUAGUCC
RNAcentral lists this ribosomal RNA (450 nucleotides) under uncultured bacterium. RNAcentral describes it as "bacterial SSU rRNA". It matches the Rfam family "Bacterial small subunit ribosomal RNA", at positions 354 to 796 of the family's 1533-position model. The record is from RNAcentral.